AGUUUGAUCAUGGCUCAGAACGAACGCUGGCGGCAGGCUUAACACAUGCAAGUCGAACGCGUGUAGCAAUACACGAGUGGCGCACGGGUGAGUAACGCGUGGAUAUCUGCCUUUUGGUUCGGAAUAACCCCGGGAAACUGGGGCUAAUACCGGAUGGUUCCUUCGGGAUAAAGAUUUAUCGCCAAAAGAUGAGUCCGCGUCCGAUUAGCUAGUUGGUGAGGUAAUGGCUCACCAAGGCGACGAUCGGUAGCUGGUCUGAGAGGACGAUCAGCCACACUGGGACUGAGACACGGCCCAGACUCCUACGGGAGGCAGCAGUGGGGAAUAUUGGACAAUGGGGGCAACCCUGAUCCAGCCAUGCCGCGUGAGUGAUGAAGGCCUUCGGGUUGUAAAGCUCUUUUGGCGGGGACGAUGAUGACGGUACCCGCAGAAUAAGCCCCGGCUAACUUCGUGCCAGCAGCCGCGGUAAGACGAAGGGGGCUAGCGUUGUUCGGAAUUACUGGGCGUAAAGCGAGUGUAGGUGGUUGUCCAAGUUGGAUGUGAAAGCCUUGAGCUCAACUCAAGAAAUGCAUUCAGGACUGGG
Molecule: ribosomal RNA, 583 nt
Filed under: uncultured bacterium
Lineage: Bacteria
Description: bacterial SSU rRNA
Rfam family: Bacterial small subunit ribosomal RNA
Source: RNAcentral